Molecule: non-coding RNA, 93 nt
Organism: Zopfia rhizophila CBS 207.26
Lineage: Eukaryota; Fungi; Ascomycota; Dothideomycetes; Zopfiaceae
Source: the annotation of a GenBank genome assembly
GGCCCGUUGGCGCAAUGGUAGCGCGUCAGAUUCCAGUUUCCUCACAAACAAGGUAUAUCCUGAAGGCUGCCCGUUCGAAUCGGGCACGGGUCA